Molecule: long non-coding RNA, 20179 nt
Organism: Cuculus canorus (common cuckoo)
Lineage: Eukaryota; Metazoa; Chordata; Aves; Cuculiformes; Cuculidae
Exons: 5
Source: RefSeq, a predicted model, not a curated record
AGUCAGUUAUUUAAUUGUAUUAGAAAGUAAGACAGCUGAUGUUGGGUCAGUUAUUUUAUUAACACGUCUUUCUGGCAUCUUAUGAAGAGUUGAGGCUGAUGUAGGAGAAAUGAAAUGUGUGAUGAAGAAACCCACCACUCCGUGCCUGUAGUUCUCGUAUGGAAAUCACUGAAGCUCAUACCAGCGAGCAGUGGCUGUGUCUGAUGACCUUGUGGUGCAGAGUGUGAUGCUGGUGGGGUACAGGAACACUUUUUCAUGCCCCUGCAGGCAGAACCGAGCUAUAACCCUCAUUCUAAGGCAGGAUGUGUUCUGGCUUUCCAUCCCUUACUGAUUUUAGCAUCAUCCGAGAGGUCAGGUGCUUUCUGUGACAGGGAAAGGAAAGGUGACCAUUGUGAUGGACCUUCCCUCAUCAGCUGUACCUCUAAGUAGGGAGCUUCAGAGCAUGGAGCUGCAGUCUGUGAGAUGAGUUUUAAAUUCUGAAGGGACGAUGAAAGUAAAUUGCACGGAACCCGCUUUGAGCGUGGGUCAGUAUGAGACCUAAAAUGGGAGCACUUGCAAAUCCAGCUCCAAGUGGUUGAAUGAAAGUUGUAGAGGAAGUGGGCGAGUGUGAAAAUGAGCGGCUGUUGGAUAUUGGGAAUGGAAUGGGUCUGAGCAGGGCUGUAGUGAGGUUAACCUGCAGCGUAUGUCUCGAUAGAUAUGGUGGCUUGAAGCCUGUGAAUGACUACACACAUCCACAAUUCAGGAACAAUCAGAAUCUUGCUGCCGUGUCUGACCUGUGCUGGUGCAGGAGGUGAUGAUUUAAGCUAAAAGAGGGGUGAUUUAGAUGAGUUAUUGGGAAGAAUGUUUUGCUGUGAGGGUGGGGAGGCCCUGGCCCAGGUUGCUCAGAGCAGUGGUGGCUGCCCCAUCCCUGGAGGGGUUCAGGGCCAGGUUGGAUGGGGCUUGGAGCCCCUUUUCCGGUGGGAGGUGUCCCUGCCCAUGGAAACUAGAUGGGCUUGAAGGUCCCUUUGACCCAAACCAUUCCACGAUUCUAUGAAUGGAAUAAGUGCAGCAGAAGUGGUGUUGGGAGCUUCGCUUAUUGAUGCCCUGCGUUUUGGCAACUCUUUGCAUUAGUUUGGUUACCAGAUCCCAGAAUCUGCUUCUGUGCCUGCAUCCUAAUGCGCCCACCCACAGGCAGGAGAGGAAAAGCUCUGAGAAAAAGAGCGUGUCCUUCCAAGAACGGGGGCUGGAGGAAAGGGAAAGAACUGUACCAGAUUACUGCGUCUGAAUAUUUACUGAAGUUUCUAAAUCCAUUAUCUGGGGCAACAGGGUGAAAGACAAGUGGAAAGCAGGUUCCCUCCCCAGUGUCUGUCUCGCUGGCACAGUUAUUUAUGAGGCUCCCUGUAUUAUCAGCGUGAGAUUUACUACUGAAAAGCUGGACUGGGAGUUCUGCUGCCAAGAGGUCAGUGCAGCACAGAGAUGGUACCACAGCAGCAUCAUUCAGAAACAGGCAUAAAGGAAGGGUCACUUUGUUUUUCCUCUUCUCUCAGUGGUAAGCGUCGGCCUUAGCAGUGAAAAGAAAUCUUUAUUAGGAUUUUUAAAGACAGUUAGUGGAAACGUCACUUACUUUUGUGCUGCUGAAAGUGAGAGCUUCUCUAGAGGUAUGGGACUUAGGGCCUGAAGCCCCUCUGCCUACCUUCUCCAAAGGAGGCUGACCUUGCGAGUAACGCCAUGCAGCAGUUAAAGACCAAUGGCUUAUUGAUUAUUUAUAGUUUGAUAAACCCAGGUUUCCCUUCAGCAUCAUUAUGAUGCUGCUGCACCUCCUCCAGGCCACCUGAAGAUGGUCCUGUUGCCUUCACAAGCUCCUUCUGAGCAGCCAGGAGGCGUCAGUCCUUCCUGUCAGUCUGCAGGUAUGUCUGCUAAGAAAGAGACAUCUGGGACAUCUAUGCUGUUCUUCCCAAACCUAACAGCAUGCCGGGGCAGGCAGCGUGUGGAGGGGACGAGGGAAAAGAGAGCACUUCAAGAGAUUUGUGGUACACAGCAUUCAACUAUUGACAUGCAACCUAAACCAGCGCUUGUCUGGAGUGUUUGCUGGGUGUGUGCUGAGUGUGUACGUAUGGACACACUGUGUGUGGAGACCAGCAGUGCUAUCAGCUACAGCUGACUUCAUCAAAGCAGUCUGGAGUUGUCCAGAAAUAAUGGCAGAAAAAGUAGAUGAUCAUUCUUGGUUUUCCCUCCUGUUUCAGACACAUUUUAGAGUGGCAGUGCUGCUCUGUAGCUUUCUUCAGAGAAACAUAGAAUCAUGGAAUGGUUUGGGUUGGAAGGGACCUCAAAGCCCAUCCAGUCCCACCCCUGCCAUGGGCAGGGACACCUCCCACUGGAUCAGGGGCUCCAAACCCCAUCCAACCUGGCCUGGAACCCCUCCAGGGAUGGGGCAGCCACCACUGCUCUGGGCAACCUGGGCCAGGGCCUCCCCACCCUCACAGCAAAACAUUUCUUCACAAUAUCACAUCUCAAUCUCCCCUCUUUCAGCUGAAAACCAUCCCCCUUGUCCCAUCUGUGCACACCCUGAUCCAGAGCCCCUCCCCAGCUUUCCCGGAGCCCCUUUCAGUACUGGCAGCUGCUCUAAGGUCUCCCCACAGCCUUCUCUUCUCCAGGCUGAACAACCCCAACUCUCUCAGCCUGUCCUUGUAUGGGAGGUGCUCCAGCCCUCAGAUCAUCUCUGUGGCCUCCGCUGGAGUCGCUCCAACAAAUCCAUGUCCUUCCUGUGCCAUCUAUACAAGAUAAAGGCAAAGAGGGAAGAAAAAUCCCUUCCUCUCUCAUGACAGGGAGCUUCCUCCCUGGGCUCAGACGUUUAAUCCAGCCUGCAUGAACAAGGCAAGCCUGGGUGUCACAGGCCUGAUUUUUUUCACAAGCUACGGGUUCUGUAUAAAGGCCCUUCUGGAGCUCCCACAGUAAGCAAAACAGAUCUAUGCAUCAUAAAUGUCUUCCUUCAUUUUCAAAUCCUGGAAUGAAACUCCUGGUUCAUCAGACCCUGGGUGUCCACUGGAAAAAAGCAUUCCUAUUUUACAUGCCAAGCUUGAUGGAUCCUUCUCAGAGUGAAGGAAUGAGUCAGAGCAGGGCCAGGUGUGGGCCAGAGGGGUGUGACGGCACAAGUGGUGACCUGCAAGGGGAACCGAAAUGAAGGAACUUCUAAGGUUUCCAGAAAGCUUUCUCAGCCUGGGAGGAGCAUGAAACUCCAUCUGUUUGUUGUGCAGCUCUGUUACGGCGUGGUGGUGCGUGGGUCAGGUAUGGACAAAUGUGCCCUAACUUGCAGUCCGAGCCGGUUGUGGGCGUGCAGGCGUUCUGCGUUGGCAGCGGCACUGACCGAGGCUGGGUAAGGGCAGAGAGGAUGCUGCUUUGCUGAGCGAAGCUGAUGCUUGUGGCUAGAAGAUGGCUCUAGGGGUGCUAGGUUUUUGCUACUGAGCUGGCAGUGUGUGCUCAAAGCCCAGAAAGCCAACUGCAUCCUGGGCCGCAUCAAAAGAAGCGUGGCCAGCAGGGCGAGGGUGAGGAUUCUGCCCCUUUACUCCACUCUCGUGAGACCCCACCUGGAGUCCUGUAUCGAAUUCUGGGUUCCCUGAUGGAACAAGGGUGUGGAACUGUUAGAAUGGGUCCAGAGGAGGCCACGGAGAUGAUCUGAGGGCUGGAGCACCUCUGCUAUAUCAGGCCAGGCUGGGAGAGGUGGGGUUGUUCAGCCUGGAGAAGAGAAGGCUCUGAGGAGACCUUAGAGUAGCUUCCAGCACUGAAAGGGGCUCCAGGAAAGCUGGGGAGGGACUUCUUACAAGGGUGUGGAGUGAUAGGAUGAGGGGCAAUGACUUUAAAGUGGAAGGGAGAAGAUUUAGAUUAGACAUAAGGAAGAAAUUCCUCACAGUGGAAUUGCCCAGAGCAGCGGUGGCUGCCCCAUCCCUGGAGGGGUUCCAGGCCAGGUUGGAUGGGGCUUGGAGCCCCUGAUCCAGUGGGAGGUGUCCCUGCCCAUGGCAGAGGUUGGAACUGGAUGGCUUUAAGGUCGCUUCCAACUCUAACCAUUCCAUGUUUCUGUGGUUCUAUGCUAGUGUUAUUGCGGGCAGGAAACCAUGAACUUCCUGCAUGAGUUUAAAGCCUAAUAGGAUUUUCCUUUUUCUUUGCUUAGGACCAGAAUCAAAACUCCAGAUCCUGUUCCUGGGUUGAACAUAGCCUAUUCCUUUGGUCCAACAAUUGCAAUAUAAGUAGUGAAGUUAAAAGCCAAGUACUCUGGCUUUUAAGCCCUUGUGCUGUCUGCCUUCCCUUCCCAAACACAGGCUGAACACUGGACUGUGGCAUCCUGCAGGGAAAAAGCUUUUUGUCCCAUUUAUUUAUUAUUAUUGCUCUCUUUGAGCAACUUGACAGCCAGACCUACUCAACGUCCGAGUCACCAAUAUGAAUUCCUGUUAGAGGAAGCCUGUCAGAGCACUCCCAAGCAUUUACCUGUGCUCAGCUGUCAGCAAACUGCCUCUCAUUCUAAGCUUUGAAAUUAGAGCUUUGUUUCACACUGUUAAGUAAAAUCUAACAAUUAUUUGCUGUUUGCUAGUGCUUGCCCCAAAGCUGUUCUGAAUUGAAGGGAGCGAUUUACGCAUGGUGACCAUUGUAGGAGAUUUUAAGUAGCAGGGCUACAGUUUUUAAUCCCCUUUGCUCAUCUGAAAUAGCUCUGCCUCGCCCGGAGUGAAACAGUUUUCUUUCCGUCUUUGCUUUCAUGAGAGUUCCUAUGCAAAAACCCCAGCCUGUUUGGAGGGCACGGGAUCGACUGAACCUCGGGAUCCUAUGGAGGAUUCCAGAUUUUACAAGGUACGGUGAGGUGAGACUGGGCAAACUCACCCAGGGAAAGAAAAGUGUUGCACUUCCAUGGCCUAUAGACCAGUAGGAAGGUGCAGCGAUGAAAACUUGUCGAAUAUAGCCACGCACGGCUUGACUGAACAGCACGUUAUAAAACUAACUGCAGAAAAUUACCCACCAAAGUAGCUGAAACCAGAAGAGUCAUUUUCUGUUCCUGGAUUCUCUCCCUAAACAUCACCUUAGAAUAUCAAGUAUCGAUUGCAGGUCUUGAAUGCAGUCACGGGGAGAUGAGUGUUGUGAUUUCUAGAGUCAGCUCAGGAACGCGGCGUUCCCCCAGUGUUGCCAUUCCAGCUCCUUCAGGCAAUAUCAAGGGAACUCCUAUUUUCUUUGUGUUGUUCAAGAGACAAAAGAAUGCCCUGUGCCGGUGAGGAGCAUAAGGAAACAAAUACUGCGGGAUGUUCACUGAAGUAUAACCUGCCUCAAAUGGGACAUUAAAAACCUUUCAGUACCCAGUCGUGCCUGAACACUGUCGGCUGUAGAAGAACCCGGCAAAAAAGGUGGAGAAGAGCAUUUCCCAAAGUCCUGUCUGACUCCCCUGAGCACGUGAGCUGUUUGGUUUGUACCUGUUCUUAGGAUUUCCAUCACUUCGUCCAUCACUGAACCUUUACCGUACGUCUGAGCCACUCUUGGUAUUUAAGGAGUGUUUGAGCUGAUGUGCCAACAGCGACGCAGAGGUUGCUGCCGGCCACCGACCACGCACCGUUUUGCACUGGAUAAAGAGUGUUUGUGUGGGGAGCUGAAGAGAUGCGUUUAACUCAGAAAUAGCUCUCUUCCUUGGAAAGCUCAAGGUCUGAAUCACACUGUGUUGGCUCAGUUUUUAGCAGACAAGCUAUCACAUAUGCCUCCCUGUAGGCGAAGAGUCGUCACUGGCGUCAGGAUUAGCAGCCACGUUCUUUCCCCUUUGAAAACUACAGAAUAGUGACACUGGAGGCUGACUCUAAGCGCCGCGGCCUGGGGCUGGAGGCUUUGGGGGGGCAGGCUAUCAAAAAGGGGGGGCAGGGAGCGAAAUGGGUAGGUAGACUAGCAGGAAGGAUCACUGGCCUCUGUACUCAGCCUGCGCUGGGCCCCCUGUUCCUUUCUGUUUGAAAGGAGGCAAAUAAUCUGUCCCCAAAUAGAACUUUGUUCUUGGGAACAAAAUAAGUUAUUUUGCUCAAGACCCUUGAGGUGUUAGCCACGCCACUGCUGCCUCUGAAGCCCAGAAGAGCCAGCUCUAACAUAUCCGUGGCUGAUGUUGCCCUGAGUCAACUGAAAAUAUGAAUGACAUGGACAAGUAGGAACAUUGGAGAGAAAUGUGGUAACCUGGGAGAGGACAAGACAGCUACUGAGCAGAGGUACCUGACACUGAAAGCGCACGAGAGACAACAGGAGCUUGGCAGACGCCGGUGAGCUCAGAGCUGCCUGCGGAGUCCACCUGAUAAAGCCUACAGGAGCAGAAACGUAAAUAUGUGCUGACUCCUUGUUUAUUUUCGCCUGGAACACAGUCUCAACUCCGUACAGCGCAGCCAGGAACCAACAGCAAAAUCGGACUGCGUCACAGAUGUAACAUGACCAUCGGCAAAACAAGUGCAGGAAGAGAUCAUGGCUGUCUCGUCAGUCACAGAGCCUCCCUUCGAUAUCAGACAACAACAAGAUGCUUCUAAAUUUCUGUCUGUGAGUAUGUGCAAUCCUUAACUUCCUUUACCAAAUUUUGCAGCCCUUGAACACUUAAAAACGCCCAAGAAAAUGGCGUGUGUUUUGCCAACAGACCCAACGCUAAUAUUAACGAACACUGCGUCAAAAUGCCGCACUAAGGCCGAGAGAUUUAAUAAACCCAACUUUACCAAACCAAAACACAAGAGAAAUGAAUCAGCUUACACGAUGUCAUGCACACACAAGUGUCAGAGGGAGAAAGAAAUCACAGCUUUCCCUGGUCCUUUUGUGGCAAUAGGCAGAAAUCCAUUACGGCACAGUUAGCCCUGUACAGCGAGCACACGGUAACAAUACCAGCCCUAUGCGCAAAAUCACUGCCGUCCUACAGAAAUACGCCGCGUCCCCUUCUUAGCCUUGAUUCUUGCCCGUCCCACAGAUUUACCUGCUGACAGUAACCUCAAUUCCUGAGUAAUGAGAUUUACAGCUGAAGUUUAACAUUGGAAUAACUCUGCCUCCUUACCCUCUCUGCAUUUAGGUGCAAUUAAACCAUCGGCCUGGCAAAAAGGUGGUAACAAAAGGAAUAAAACCAAAUGCAUCCCUACGCUCAACACAGAGACGCAAAAAAUACGCAUACGCCUGAGCAAUACGCAUACGCAGAAUGGGUGCGGGUUGCGCCCUGUCUUGAAGGGCUGAGAAAUGCCAUUGAGAUGCAUUGGCUUCACGAAUUAUCGGGGUCCUCCGCCCCACAAUUUAGAUGGGGAAUACCGCAAAGGGUUGUCCGUUCAGACAGCACUCGGUAAAACCAACUCAACCCACCCGUCUUCCAUGCAACCGAGCAUCGUUCUUGGUCCAGCUCCUGGCUGUACGGAAUUCCCUCUGGGGGUGCCUUGUGCUGUUCCUAUGUGUGUGUGUUUAUGCCUGUCCGUCUUGCUGCAGGGACCACCGUUGUUGCUGCUAUUCCUGUUGUUCCCCUGCUCUGCGGAACUGGCGCUGCAGGAGGCAAGGAUGCUCCGAGGGAGCCAGCUACAGCCAGCGAAGGCUCGGCUGCUGUUCAGAGGACAGGCUGCUGCCGAAGCGGUGGAGGCGGCGGGUGCCGUAUGUCUGAGCCGGUUCUGAAUCCAGCGGUUGUUGCUAAACAACCGGACCUGACGCCCGAGAUGUCAGCGAGUGAGUAAUACAGAUUAAAUACCUCUGCUACCGUAUCCUUAAACUUUUUUAAACCUCAAUACGAUGAAAGGCUAUAGAAUAAUGUUCCCUGACAUAUGAGAAAGCAAAGUUACCACUCCACUGCAUAAUCGGGAGACUUCCUCAGCCAGAAGGACCAAGCUCAAAGCUGGUUGUGUCCUCAGCACUUCCAGGCAGAGCUGCCAUCUUCCUUGCUGGUCGCUUUAAGAAGAGAGGUGAAAAAAUAGUAUAGUAAAUGGUUAAGAGAGAAAAGUGUUCUCCCCUUCGUUUGCUCAUCCUCUCUCUGGAGCUGCUGUCUGCCCUCAGUCUCCCAUCCAUCCUUUUCUGGUCCCUCCCAAUCCUCCUGCAAUCCUUGCUUUCUAACGCUGUCCUUUCUUUCGCAAACCUUACAGACCUGUCUCUUAGGCCUCUCUUCAGCUCUCCCUGACGUUACCGAGCUUGUGGCAAAGUCACCCUUAUGCAAACAAACGCUGAGUUUGGGCAAGAGUGUUUUUCGCUUCUUUAAUGAUUCCCACGACAUAAUUUCCAGGUACAACCCCUGCCCUUAGCAGUUGCCAGUCCUGCGAACGCUUAACCACUUUAUAAGGGAGCAGGAGGAAAGCAAACACGGGGAAGAAAAGCCCCAACCCCCUGUAGUUUCCCAGUCCCUGUGGUUUGCAGUGCUGACACGUCAUCCUCGCAACUGCACAGCGAAGCGAAACCUCCCCAGCACCCACGGCUGCGGGGUUAAGCGCUGCGCCCCUGCCCGGUGCUCCUUGCCAGGGACACCCGGUGGCCCUGGGGGUUGGAGAGCACAGGGAGUGGACAGGGAUCGGACAGGGAGCCGGGUGGAGAGCAGCCGGCACUUUGAAGCAAGUGAAAUCAACGUUGAGAUUUGACACCCAGUCCUGGACCAAUCCGAGAGGGCUUUUCACCUGCCAUCCCUUCCUCUGCCAAUCGCAGGGCGCCUUUGGGCUGAGAGCCCUCCCCGGCCAAUGGGGAGCCGGCUCUGCCACUUAGUUAAUGAUGCAGCAGUACAGGGAAGACUAUCACAUGUGAGCUGGAAGGCUGCCAACAUGGAGACACGGAGAGAGCAAGGUAAACAACUUCCCAACGCCAAAAUGAUGACAUUUAAUCCCUAAAUGCUAGCUUCCCGUCUCGACUCAUCCUUAACCCCUUUCAGCUGGGGUGGAAGCGGCUGGAAGGCACUGGCUACCUGUCCCCCAGUGCUUUUAAAAACUGGCCGACGUGCCCUGCAAUGAUCACUGCGUCACCGUUUCCCACUUUCCGAACUACGCAGUCACAAAGCUCCGAGCUCUGAAACGCAGCGCGCCUGUUACCCCUCCACUGAGCUCUCGCCAACAUGCCAGCCUUCAGAGAGACGGGGAGGGGGGGGGAUAAAAAGCCCAAACAAACCCUGAAAACAGCAGUCUGCAAAGUUGUCAUCUCUCCCCCACGACUACUACCCUCCUCUGCAGUACAGCAAUGCCGGCAGGAGUGACAUUAGUACAACCUGUGCUCUCAUUCCAUUGAGAAAACAGCUCUGACGCAGAACAGAGCAAUCGUACCCAGCCAAAAUAAUAAUACAGGCACUUCGGGAUCCGAACUUAGGGACGCCGGGGGAAAGGGACGCCCUGCAAGCAAUUAAAAUACGUAGAUGCAGCCCAAGCCCCAUCCUGAUCAGAGGGUACGUACGUGGGAAAGACGAACUGGACCGAAGAGCUCUGCCCGUGCACCAUCUGCGCAGUCCUCAGCCCUUCACUCGCUGUGGAGCGCCGCAGAAUAGAAGGUUCCAGAAUUUUCCUUUCCGUUAACCCUUUAGGUGUCUGCCCACUCUCCCUCCCCGCGGGAUUAAGCGCGCCGGGUCUCCAGCAUCGUCAAUGGGCGAAGCCUCCUACGCCAACCGAGCCCAAAUACGAUCUCUAAAUGACACUGGAUGGUGGUAGGAGCCCAGUCCCUGAUGUUGGUGUUACUUCUCUUCCCGGAGCCCUCUCUGCCUCUCUAGCUGCCUCUCUCCCUCUUGCUGCAGCAGCAGGGCUGUUGCUGGUAGACCUAUCGACGGAGCUGGCUCUCUCGCUCUCUCGCCGAGCUCUGUGACGCAGCUCUAAAUUCUCCAGCCUGCUCCCUGUGUUAUAAGAGCGGAACUGCAGCUUUCCAGGGAGCCCGUGCCAGCGGUGCCAGGGCCAGGCAGACCGAGGGGAACGGCACUCCUGGACUCUGCACCUUUUUUUGGUAAUUAUUAUGUUCCCCACCUCCGUUUCUGUGCUUCCUCCGAAGCUUUUAGCCUCGCAUCUCCUUCUCUGCUUCUGAGUCAUGCUUACUAGGUUAACUCUUUUAGGAUUGGUAGUCAGCAAUACAAAUCUCGAACGAGCGCAGCUGAAACCACAGCCAACUUUGUGGUGGUUUCUGCUUUAAAAAAAACCAAAGCAAAUCUUCUUGGCUCUAAAAAACAAAAACAGAGACACACACACACACACACACACACAGAGACACGUUCCAGUUGAGAGUUAGUGCUUUUUGAUUAACUGUUUGGGUGACAGGAACCACUACUUGACUUCCUAAAGUCAAAUAUUUCAGGCCUACGUCUUGCAAAUGCUCAGCAGGCAGUUACCCUGGAGCAGAAGAUGACUGAAGAGGAACUGAUCCCAUGCACAAACAGGUUUGCUGGGCAUAAAAGCAUGAGGUUACUGCUGGACCCACCAGCCCCUGCUAUGCUGGCCGCAAGACGCUGAUCCGAGUGUGAUUCAGCCGUGGGGCAGAUGCCUGGGGUAAGAUAAGUUAUGGAAAGUGCUGCAAAGCUCUUGGCUUGUCUUAAUCUGAACAGUAUUAAUAAGUGUUAUCACACGCACAGAUUCAAAAUGCUCGGCGUAGGCAGGAGAACUAAUAGUCGUGUUCCUGGAAUCACCAGAAUCCAAUCAUCUCUGUUAAACAAAGUCUCCACACAGCUCUGUAUUUCAGCACAGCAGGAAUGCAGAGUGACCGCGCUGUCCUUGCCUCUGCCCCCCAAACCCUCCCUCGUGUUAACUUGGUGCUUUCUGUCCCCUUUGGCACCAGGCUGGGAAGCGACGCUCUUCUGUCUCGUCGCCUCAAACCCGGCAAGUGUGGAGGAGGAUCAGUGGUAGGUACAGCAUCUGGGCAUCAAAGAGAAGCGUAUGGAACGCCAGCACUGUGUGAGGGAGUUCAUGCCUCAGUCUGCACAUACAAAAGAGCAAGCGAGCCAGCAGUCCAUUUGAAAACCAGAAUCAAGAGAGCGAUCACUACUACACAGCUACAGCUGCCAUUUUAAUUCCAGACUUCAGAGCCGGCUGCGAGCUUUGGGUUUUUUCUCUACAACCAAAGCUGAAAUAACCACUAUUUUUUCUCUUUGCAGUGUCUGAAGAGCCUGAGCUAUUUUGGGAUUUGUCUGUACUACACUGAAAGUGACACCUGUUACGCACAGACACAAAUGAGAAGAAGCGCAAGCUCCUGGUUUCUCAGAUACGAUUCUGCAAGAAAAAGAUCCUUUGAGGCAGGGGUGUGGGAGAGCAGCGCAGGCUCGGCGCAGGGCGAAGGGGAUGGCUCUUGUGAAUCAUAGUAAUACAAUGAUUUGAGUUGGAAGGGACCUCAAAGUCCAUUCGGUUCCACCCCCUACCACGGGCAGGGACACCUCCCGCUGGAUCCGGUUGCUCCGAGCCCCAUCCAACCUGGCCUGGUACCCCUCCAGGGAUGGGCAGCCACCGCUGCUCUGGACAACCUGGGCCAGGGCCUCCACACCCUCACAACAAAAUAUUUCUUCCUAAGAUCUCGUCUCAAUCUCUCGUCUUCCAGCUUCAAGCUGUUCCCCCUCAUCCUGUCUCUGCCCUCCCUGUCAAACAAUCCAACACCAGUACAAGAAAGUGCAGUGGGUCUGUUGUAGCUGAUGCAAGGGGAAAUCAAACCUCCGCAUGACCAGGAGUAGUGCUCGAUCAACAAAAUGCCACAAGACGUGGUUUCUUAUGCAACCAAACCCCUGGGACUUCAAACCUUACAUCUCCGCUCUGGCCAAAGCUGCAAGCAUUAACUACUUCAGUUAAUGACGGUAAGAUUGUAAGAGCGCUACGGCUACUUAAAUGAGUCACCCAGCAGUGAUGCUCGCUAAAGUAGGCCAGUGCUUUACGUGACGUGAAGCUGUGCUGGUUUCAGUUACCCCUCGCUUCUUUCCGAAGCUCCAGUGUGCAGGGUCAGAGCGGAUUUCCCGCGUUCUCCCCUUCGGCGCGUGGCCGGUUUACGGCACAGCAGCGCUGUGGGGCAGAGGCCGUCUCGCUUGACCCGCGAGACCUGGCAAAGCUUUGCAUGUGAUUGCGUACGGCACUGGAGCAAGGUUGUCCAGAGAAGUGGUGGGGGCCUCAUCCCUGGAGGUGUCGGAUGGGGCCCCUGAUCCAGUGGGAGGUGUCCCACUGAAUGGGCUUUAAGGUCCUUUCCAACCCAAACCAUUCCAUGUUUCUAAAACACUUGGAAAUAGGACCAUUGACGGGUGCUUAUAGCUCACAGUAAUUUUGUCAGUCUUGGGGCUUAUUAAGAAAGUAAAAUGGAGCUUUGAUUUAUUUCAAAUGAUAUAUUUUUGGUUGCUUUCAGGGGAAAGACAGCAUUUAUUUUAUGCUUUACUUUCAUUUGAAAAUCAUCAGCUGUGGAACAUUUUUAUCUUUCCCUGCCUGUAAGUAUUUACUUUGUGGUGGCUCUUGGGCUCCCAAGAAGACUCCAAGCUGCACUGCACCGGGAAACACUCCGUCACCUAACUAAGAAAACAAGGCACAACGGAAAGCGUCAGCCCCAGAAAAAUAAAAUCAUCUUCUCACGCUGUCUGUCAGUAUUUAGCAUUUUCUGUGAGCUGAAGUAUGGAAAUAGAGACCAUGAUUCCAUGGCAGAAAUGCAUUUCUCUUUGAAGUGGAACCGGUGCGUAUCGUUUGAUAAUGGCUUUUUUGGCCCCCUUUCUUAUUUCUCUGAACUCUUUAAAAGCAGGAGGCAGGACUUUGGUUUGACUAUGAGGAAACAAAGCCUUGGGACAGAAAGCAAGCUUGGUAAAUGGAAAUAAUGCACGGCCGUGGUUGGAGGCAGGGGAGAUCGGUCUCGCCGUGGAAUGGAAGUGUAAGUAUCCGUACCGAAGUGAGGGGUGACCUGGUGGCUGAUGACAGCUGUGCCGGGGGAGGGCGGUACUUACAGGGUUGAUUUAAACAAACCCAGUUCUGAUAGCGCUAGGCAAUGUACCAAGGUAUCAGGGCUUACACCUGGAACGGCUCAGGCUGAAUGUUAGGUAAAAAAAGACAGUUUUUCAGGAGGAUGGGAGGGAUUGAACCCCCAGCUGUCCCUACCGUCAACCAACCAUUUCCUACAGUAUCGUGAGAGGAGCAGGGGGUUUGCCAAACCCUCCAGAAAGGUUCAUCCUCAGUUUUCCAGCAUCCCCUGUGCUGUUUUCUGCUGUCAUUCUACAGCAACCUUAAUAGCAAUACCAUACGAACCCUGAUGUUACAAAUACCCAACCCUCAUGCACAUCAUUAUUGUGAUCCUCAGCCAUCCAUGGAGGAAGGUCCUUGGUCUUUUUAGUGCCGAAUGAAUUCCUCGUGGUACUGCCCACGCUUCCUGCUGGCAAAACCUUGGCUCCGGCUUCGGUUUAAAUGCCAUCGGCCACACCUUCCUCCAACUGCAGGAAGCUGUGAUUGUUAAAAUCGGGGCACGUUCCUGUUUUAAUGACAAGGUUGAGAUCAAAUAAUCCAAAAGGCCCCGACAAUGCCAAACAAAUUCCUUCCCGAGCCAUAGCAAAUCCGUGCAGCUGUAAAUCUGUAACCCCCUGACCUCCGUAUCCACGUAAAUGCCGCCGCGGCACAUCACCUCCGGGAGCGGCUGGUGGUAAACGGAAGGAGCAGGGACUGAGGGAAAGGUGGACUGAGGGGUGGAAAAGUUAACUAUUAGCACUGUGUUCUGUUUAACAACCAAAAAGCCCUGGAAGCUGCUUUAAAAUGCAAAAUAGUCCAUUCUUCAGAUGGUUUUUCAGUGCUACCUCUUCCUCACAGCCUCAACAAAAGGAGGUUUUCCAACAAGAAUCUGUUUCGGCACGGAAUUCCCAGGCAGCUCUGUUCAAGGGAGAGCAGCAGAAACAGAGCAGCCCACUUGGCAGUGCCGUUUCCCCCAUCCCUCUUUGAGGAGAGGGGAGGUUGAUCUGUAAAAUGUUCUUUUUUUCUGCAGGUUUUGAUAGAAAAUCAUCCCUAAAAAAAUAUCUUACUUAACUCUUUGUGACAUUGGCUGCAAAUAAAGUAGUAAAUUUAGUUGUUCCCUAUGGGAACUGGCAAGUUUUAUUGUUUGCUUGCUUAAAAUCAAUAGAAUUUUGCGUAUGAGGAGGCUGAAUUAAAUGAAGGUGAUAUAAUUUAACACACAUUGUUUAUGGAAUCAGGGUCAAAGCUGAUCCAGGAGUCCUUGCUCCCAGAUUUUACUCAGGUUGUGCCUCUUGCUUAAUUAUAAUCAUUAUUGCCCAGAAGGCCACCUCAAUUAGUGAGAGGGAACCGUUGUCGGUAGUGGGAGCUAUCGGAACAGCGUGGCUUUGGGAGGAAAGGGGUAGGAAAUUAUUUCAGACAGGUGCUUUCUUUCAUUUUCCACAGAAAAACAGGAAUCAGACCUAGAAGUCUUCCUUUUCACAUCAACUUAGGCAACAGCGGAGAGUUUGUGGUCUCACAGUGCUAUCCCGACAGCCACCAGGAUAUGCACAGAUUCCCAGGAAACUGGAGAUUUACAACUCCGAAAUGGGAAUAUUUGCUAACACAGCGACUGAAGCCCGUGUGGGGCUGUUCCACCUGGGACCCUCAGCAGGUUUUGUUCUGCGGUGACCAUCGGAUGGUUACAGAGGCACAGCAAAUGCUUGGGUUUAGGGUUUUUUUCCCAAAAGGUUUAUUGCUUUCCAGACAAGUUUCGUAGUGAAUGGUGGAGAAAUGCCUUGUGUAGUAUUUUCAGCACUUUUAUUCUCACCAGAGUCCCAACCAGCAGGAGGAUAAAUAACAGUAAAACCCUUUCAGAAACAGCUUUAAAGUGGAUUCUCUGCACCUUCUUGGAUGUGCGCAGAGGUUGAGGUGGGGAUUUUUCUUUGGGGAUGGUUCAAGGGAAUGGGAUGGAAUAAGGAGUGUUGCGAUCAAAGGGCUGCAGAGCCAGAGCUGUGGGUUUCUUCCCAACAAGCGUUUGGGAUGGGUCGGCACUGGGUGCUCACGUUUGCAUAACACGCUUGCAUUCUUCGUGCCAACCUGGCCCACGCAGUGAAGCAGGCGCUGGAAUGGAACCUGGCCCACCCUUUGGAGAGGUGGAGCCCUGGGAUAGACCUGAGCUGAAAAAAAUCCCGGCUGCGAUCCUUCGCAAAGAGGUGACACCACAUUCACAUACGAGCAGCUUCAAAGCAGGACGUGCGCCCUGUGUUGAAGCUGGGUUCAAGGUAUUCGUUCUCCUCGGCUGACAGCUCUGCUGAUGGAAUGCUGCCCAGAGGCCGCCGGGGUGGCUCCUCGGACCCCUGACCGCUCUGCCCACGGUGGGCGUGAGAGCGGGGGCGCCCCGAGGUGCAGGUUGUUUCUUGGUUUCCAAUCAAGGGAGCCAACGGUGCUGAGACAAAAGUAAUUAUUCCAGCUCUUAGCUGCUAAGAAUAGAAGCGGCGGGGGUGCCGUGCGGGGCUGAGGUGCGCCGGCAGCAGGGAUUGCAGUGGGAGCACAGAAAUAGCCCUUCUCAGCGCUUUGGAGCUUUGUGAGUCACCAAAAUACACGGGGACGAGUGGGUGUAGAGGAAAAUCUGCCCUGCGCCUCCGUGUGCGGCAGAAAUGCCCCUGGGCUGCUUGCUGGAUGCUCUGGGAGAGACCCAGGAGCCUGGUUUUGCCUAAGGAGAGCAUCUUUGCAGGCGCUGGACCACCCUCGAUGCUUCCCACUCGUCGCAGCGCACGGCCGGGGAAAGGAGAACACCCAAGAGCCGUGCUGCCCGCCCGCUGCUCUCAGGUACCGUCCCCUGCCCUUGGCAGGGCAGAUCCGGCCCCUUCUGCCCCUCCGGCCCCGAUCCCACGGGGCAGGAAUAUUUGCAAAAGCCAAACAUUCCCGAGCUGGGCUGAGGGGGGAAGAGCGGGACGGAGGAAUCCAUUGAUCUCGAUCCAACUGGGCUCCACGGUGUUUUCCCAACUGCUAAUCUUACUUGAAGUUCCCUUUAGAAAUCCAUUACAAAAGGUUAAACACGUGAACAGUAGACACUUAAAUAAUCAGUAAAUGCUCUUCAUCGAUGCCUGUAAUGCUUUAUCCUGAUGCUGUUUAGCAAAAUAAUGCUAUCCCUCCGUGUUUAUACUCAAUAUAGCUUGGAAAAGGUAAUUUUUUUCCCCUUCUGUGCUGUUUGUGCAGCCCCGGGUACAUCACAUUCCUGCUCUAUGACUGGGUUUCCAAACCGCAGAGUAAAAUGAAUAAUAAUGAUAGUAAAAGUUGUACAACUGUUUUUGGGUUUUUUAUAUAUACAGCAGCCUCUAUAUUAAUUUCCCUUGAGAGGAAAAAAGGUUUUGUUUUUUUUUUUUCCAAAAAAACAUGAAAACAACCCCAGAAAAGCAACACAUUCAAGGUUUAAAAGAAAAUCUUUUUAUCAACCCUGGGUGCAGCUGCGGAAAGAGCCGAGCUAGAAUUAAACAUCUCAGCUGGAGCGCGGACAGGGCGCAAGAGGGCUUGCUAAAAAUAGAUUAAUCCUAAUUACAGCCACGCUCCUGCUUUGUCAAGGUUUCCUGCUUCCCAUGGGAUGCCGGGGCUGGGAAUGGGGGGCUCGCUGCUGUGGUGGGAGCAGCAGGCUGGGGGUCGCCCGCCGCCUGGUAUUGCAUAAUGUUGGGAACACGCCGUCCUCCAGAGACCGGAGCGCCGGGAGUGACGGCAGCGUCCCGCCUGGCUGGCCUUGGGCUGCUGGCUCCGGCUGAUCCGCACAGGCUCAGCCCAGCCACCGGCCCUGGAAGCUCUCCCAGGCAGCAAAACCUGAAUAAAAGACUGGAAAACGGCGUUGCAGGUACUGUGUGCUUUGCUGGUGAACGAUUUAAACAUCUCUACCUUCCCACCAGCUUCUUGGAACGCCAGCAGCCCCCGGAGGAGCUGGAUCAUGGGCCAGAGCUGCACGGCAUCGCUAAACCCCCCGACGCGGUGCCGCGAGGGAGCUGCCGGGAAUCCCUUGGGGUUAUUUCCUCCUGAACAACGUUGAUGGAGAGAGCUGACGAUGUCUCAUAAGGCUCUUGAUCAAAGAGUGCAGGGACAGGAUGAGGGGAAUGGUUUUCAGCUGGAAGAGGGGAGGUUGAGAUGAGAUCUUGGGCAGAAAUGUUCUGCUGUGAGGGUGGGGAGGCCCUGGCCCAGGUUGCCCAGAGCAGUGGUGUUGCCCCAUCCCUGGAGGGGUUCCAGGCCAGGUUGGAUGGGGCUUGGAGCCCCUGAGCCAGUGGGAGGUGUCCCUGCCCAUGGAGGGGGUUGGAACUGGGUGGGCUUUGAGGUCCCUUCCAACCCAAACCAUUCUAUGUACAUAUAAUUUCUACUUACGACUCAUCAGAAAAGGUUUCAUUUGUGAGAUCCCUUCCCCUCCUGCACUGAAAUGCAGAUCCAGGAUUUGUGGCUUGGUUUUUAUGUGUUUAAUUAAAUGAGGCAGAGGCACUGCAGACCCUUUGGGCUGGCGGGCGCUCACCUGGGCCGGCAGCUUCACCUGCACCUCCCUGCUUUGCUCUCCAAGGGAAAACGUCUUCCAGCUCCAGUCCCCUGUAUCCCAGCUGAUGUUGCAGCAGUGGGUUUGGCUCUCCUGGGUUGUCAGUCCUGCUGUCACCUCCCAACUCCCUGGAGUUACACCCUGAGGGCAAGAAAAUCUCCUGUUAAGUUUCACCCACUUUAAUAUGACCAGGCAAUAUUUUCCAAUCAGGAAAUAAAUAAACAGGAAAAACAUUGAUUAGACAUUUCUGAGCAGCUGUUUUAGCAUCCCUGGGCUGCAAGUAGCCUGCAUCCAAGAGCAGACCUCCUCUCUUUGCCCGCUGCCUUAUGGGAUGCAUGUAGGGAAUGGCAACACUGCUGCUCCGGCUGCAAGGGCGCAUCUCCCCAGCCCCUGCCUGGAGCCCCUGCUUUUAUAACCACACUGAGGGAUUGGGAAAUCCGCUGUGAUUCAUCUGAAUCGCUUCAGGUCCCCCCUUCCCACCCUGGCACAGCACCCACGGGAGCUGCCAGACGCACGCGGAGCGAGCACCACGCCUGCCGGAGGCUCCUCAUCAGCCUCGGCUGCCAAAGUGGAUGCCACGAAUUGAUUCCUCGUCGGGGGCUACAAGAAAGCUGGGGAGGGAGUGUUUACAAAGCUUUGUGGUAAUAGGACGAGGGGGAAUGGGUAUAAACUGGAGAGGGGAAGAUUUAGGCUGGACAUAAGGAGGAAUUUCUUCAUGAUGAGCAUGGUGAGGCCCUGGCCCAGGGUGCCCAGAGCAGUGGUGCUGCCCCAUCCCUGGAGGGGUUCCAGGCCAGGUUGGAUGGGGCUUGGACCCCUGAUCCAGUGGGAGAUGUCCCUACUCGUGUCAGGGAUGGGAUGGGUAGGCUUUGAGGUCCCUCAAAGCAAACUGUUCCAUCAUUCUAUGAGAAAUUAAGACAGGUAUUUUGCCCUUCCAUAGCCAUUGGAAACCCACUACUAAGGUCAAAAUCCAAGCAAGUAACAAAAUAAAACGUAAGCUCAAAAAGUUUUUUUAUGCAGAAAUUGAUUCCUCUUCCCAGCGUGGAAUUAUUUUGCAAACAGAUCUCAAUUAGAGGCUGAGCUUUUCUAUUUUUGUUUUUCUUACAAAUAAAUAGAUAUUGUCAUUUUUCAAGAGAUUUGAGGUUUUUUUUUUUUCUUACGUGGCCAAUUCUAAUCCAUCAGUUAAUCCCACUCUUUCCAGCCGGGGAGACCUUUGUAUAAAUUUCUAAAGUAGAAAACAAAACAUUAAACAUUACAAAACCAAACAGAUGAAAAUACUUUCAGCUUUGCUCAUGUUCCUGCCAAGUGUUUUCCCUUUUAAAAAAACCACACAAACCAACUCCUUCCCCGCCCGGGCACGACUGUGUCCUUGACUCCUUUAAAGGGGACGGAAGAGCUCGGAUCAGCGCUGGGCCAACACCUAAGGAAGGGCAAGGACUGGUUUUAAGCCUUUAAAGCAGCUUCUAAUACUAUUCCUCCCCCCAAAACAAGGCAAUAAGAGUAUAUUAAGGUGAAGAACACAUAUUUAAGCUGGAAGAAGGGAGAAUUAAAUGAGAUCUUGGGGAGAAAUGUUCUGCUGUGAGGGUGGGGAGGCCCUGGAAGAGGUUGCCCAGAGCAGUGGUGCUGCCCCAUCCCUGGAGGGGUUCCAGGCCAGGUUGGAUGGGGCUCGGAGCCCCUGAUCCAGUGGGAGGUGUCCCUGCCCAUAGCAGGGGGUGGGACUGGAUGGGCUUUGGGGUCCUUUCCAACACAAACCAUUCCGUUAUUAUACAUAUAUAUAUAUCACAUAUCACCUUUGUUUCCUUGGGAGGUUUUCACCAAGUCCUGAAGAUGAUCAAGUUCUGGGGACACUCGGGGUGCAUCACUGGCCGGUGCAUCCGAGUCUGUACCUGCUCCAGCCCUCUGGUCCAGCUGAACACAACCGCUUUGCUUCCCGGAUGCAGCCGCGGUCCGGAGCCACGAUGAUGCUGUCUUACAAACCCUACUCCCGAGUGAUCCCACGAGAGGGAAUUCUCCUGCGUACGCUCACUCCAAAGGACCAUGAACACAGCUGCAGGAUACACCAAUAAGGAAUGAAACUGGUAAUGAGGACAAGUCGUCUGCAGUCACUCCAGGAAAAUGGUUGGAUUUCCCUGCUGCUUUGGCUCGCCUGAUUCCAAACACGAAAGGCACAAAAGACAACUUCCACACAAAAUAGAGAAAAUAACUUUAUGGAGCGUCUCAACUGCAGAGUAUCUUUAAAAAGCCUUCUAGAAAGCCUUUUACCACAUUACUCAACACACCUUUAUUUAUUAUUUUUUAUAAGAAAAGAGCAGAAAAGAGCUUAAUCCAAGCUAAAUAUUUAACCAAAUAGCAAUUAACUAACAAUGAUGAAUGAUAAACAGUCCUAGUGCGACGCUAAACUGGGACUUUAAAGCCCGUUUAUCUAAGCUAAAGCUGCUCAAGGGGAAAGGCAAGUUUAUUGAGUAAACUUUGUCUCAGCCACCUUGCUAUUAAAGCAGUCGACAAACAGAAACUGCAUCGUAUAUCCUGUGGGAGGCAGAAAAGGAGCAGGAACAUAACAAUCCAUCACCCAGAAGUUACAAAGCUAUGCGGAGCAAUUAUCCCAAAAUAUAAAAGCAGAGAAAACAUGAUGCUGUAAAGCAGCCGCUCUCAACCCCCAUGGCCUCAUGUUAAAAGAGAAAUAAGUGAGGGACGCCUUAAAUUCCACACAGUUUCCACUGGCCCUGAGACAGUCAUUCCCACUCAUCCACUAGGACUGAGCCUGGGCAGCUGCCAAAGAUUUUAUCACAGAAUCAUGGAAUGCUUUGGGAUGGAAGGGACCUCAAAGCCCAUCCAUUUCCCACCCAGU